CUGGGUUUGACAUGGGCGCUAAAGCCGCAGAGAUGUGGUGUCCUUCGGGGGCGUUCACAGGUGGUGCAUGGCUGUCGUCAGCUCGUGUCGUGAGAUGUUGGGUUAAGUCCCGCAACGAGCGCAACCCUCGUUCCAUGUUGCCAGCGGGUUAUGCCGGGGACUCAUGGGAGACUGCCGGGGUCAACUCGGAGGAAGGUGGGGAUGACGUCAAGUCAUCAUGCCCCUUAUGUCCAGGGCUUCACGCAUGCUACAAUGGCCGGUACAAAGGGCUGCGAUACCGCAAGGUGGAGCGAAUCCCAAAAAGCCGGUCUCAGUUCGGAUCGGGGUCUGCAACUCGACCCCGUGAAGUCGGAGUCGCUAGUAAUCGCAGAUCAGCAUUGCUGCGGUGAAUACGUUCCC
This 399-nucleotide ribosomal RNA is filed under the name uncultured soil bacterium. RNAcentral describes it as "bacterial SSU rRNA". It matches the Rfam family "Bacterial small subunit ribosomal RNA", at positions 975 to 1375 of the family's 1533-position model. The record is from RNAcentral.